Molecule: ribosomal RNA, 253 nt
Filed under: uncultured bacterium
Lineage: Bacteria
Description: partial 16S ribosomal RNA
Rfam family: Bacterial small subunit ribosomal RNA
Source: RNAcentral
UACAUGGGGUGCAAACGUUGCUCGGAAUUAUUGGGCGUAAAGCGCACGUAGGCGGUUCGUUAAGUCGGAUGUGAAAGCCCUCGGCUCAACUGAGGAAGUGCACCCGAAACUGGCGAGCUUGAGUACGAAAGAGGAUCGCGGAAUUCCCGGUGUAGAGGUGAAAUUCGUAGAUAUCGGGAGGAACACCGGUGGCGAAGGCGGCUCACUGGCUCGAUACUGACGCUGAGGUGCGAAAGCGUGGGGAGCAAACAGG